RNAcentral lists this long non-coding RNA (1931 nucleotides) under Homo sapiens (human). Its description in RNAcentral is "PREDICTED lncRNA (TCONS_00182848)". Lineage: Eukaryota; Metazoa; Chordata; Mammalia; Primates; Hominidae. The record is from RNAcentral.
GCCGGGGCGUCCCCCGCGGGAGCCCGCAGCCACCCGGGACGCGCAUCCAGACGUGGCGCUUCGGACCGGGCACGCUGCGCCCGGGGGCUCGGCGGACCCCGCGUAGCCGCCGCUUCGGAGCUUGUGCGGCGCGGGCUGGCCAGCGGGGCGGCCAGGGCCCGGCCCGCCUCCCCAGCGCCCGCCCGGCUUCUCCCCCUGGCGGUGGGAGCCUCGGCGGCCGCUGGCGACACUAGGCGCACUGAAGCCCGAGCCGAGCCGAGCCCGAGCCGCCGCCGCCGCCGCCGCUGCUGCGCACCGCUCCCGGGCUCCCUCCCAGCGCGCCGGCCGGGGUGUGGGGGGCGGCGGGCCGGAGGGGCGAGGGCGGGCCAGGGGGCGCACACGGGGGUUGGCGCGGAAGACAGGACCCUCAGCCUCGAGGGAGCCCCUAGGUGACCAGGCAAAAUGGCAGUUCCUUCCAGCUGGUCCUCAGAUGGGCACAUCUAUUAGCCUCUGCUCUUGUAAGAAGUUAGCUGCAGAACCCACAUGUGAAUCCUUGUAGUGCUUUAUCAAAUUUCUACUAUGAACUAAGAACUGAGUGCUAUGGGAGACACAAAGGAGAGUCAGGACUCUGGAGAAGAUCAAAUGGGAGCUUAGAUGUGGAAGCUCUUUGGAAACCAAGAAACACUCUGAAAAUGAAAAGGCAUAAGAAUGUUUAUCACAGCAUGGCAUAUAUUGGAAGUUUAGUAAAUGAAGAUACAUCCAAUCUGACAUUCUAUUCACAACCACAAAGAGAUAAUGUAGAAACAUAUUUAGUAAUGUGAGAAAAUACUAAAUAUUAAGUGAAAAAGGUGGAAGAGUAAACUGUUCCUGUUUCUCCAUCUUGACAGGAAGCAGAAGUUCUCCUUAGCUGAUUUUUCUUCUUGCCUUAUACUGGGUUCUUUAACACCAGAACAAAAAUAAAUAAAUAAAAGAAUCUUCCAGAAAUUCAUGAAGAGACUUCAGGUCAGGAAAGCCUGAACUUUCUCAUCCAACACCCGUUCAAGUCGGAGGAUGCUGAUUAAUUCAUGAUGGAAAGGUAUCAAUUUCACAGCCCAGACCUCUACAUUCUUGAAAUGCUCUUCUCAUGGGAGACAUUAAAUAAGCUUUGAAUUAACUUGCCAUGACACCCAGGAUGCAGCUGUAGGAACACCACUGGGUCCCUGGAUGUCAUGUAAGCCCUUAAGUAAAAGUGCCAUCAAAUGAUUUCUCAGAAAUUAUAAAGAAACAAAAGGACCAUAAACAAGAUAAGGUGGCAUGAGGAAACAUUACAAGUACCUUUCAGAGCUGACUGGCAAAGAAACUCCUGAGGUGACGGUUCUACCCCAAUAUUACUUCUUCGAAGAGCAACCUAACUGGACUUAUCUUCCUCAGUUCUCUGUGAUGAACUUUUGUAGAGCCAUACGAAAGGAGGUUUUUAGCUCUCACCUGUGGUCUUUCUUCAUCAUGCACCUCCUAGAUUCAAAAGUUCAGCAGGGACAUGUCAAGCUAUAUAAAUAAAAACAAACUAAGAAAAAAUGUAACAUUCCAUACCUUAAAACGCAACCUUAAUAACGUGAAAGACCCUGAAGGACUUGAGACGUGAAGAUUUUCUACCACGGUCUUUGCCUGUAUUAUUUCUGACAGCUGUUCCUUUCUACUCCCUCUUGCACACAUCUUUAGUUACUCCCUGUUCUCCAUCCCUCUGAUAAAAUCUAGAGUUCCCCCCUCAAAUUAGAAAAUUAAAAAAAAUUAAAAAUCUAAAAUUAAAAUUUAAAAAAUUUUUAAAAAUCUAGAGUUUAAAAAAAAUGUUCUAUCUCAGGCUUGUGAACCAUAUUGUUAGUUCACAAUUAAGAAUGAUGUACAUCUAUUGGACAAGUUUUAAUUAAUUCUUUCCCUUGGCUGAUUAGUAAAUUUCUGCAGUGAGUACAAAUGUU